RNAcentral lists this signal recognition particle RNA (300 nucleotides) under Cebus imitator (Panamanian white-faced capuchin). RNAcentral describes it as "Metazoan signal recognition particle RNA (ENSCCAG00000004217.1)". It matches the Rfam family "Metazoan signal recognition particle RNA". From Rfam's summary of the family: The signal recognition particle (SRP) is a universally conserved ribonucleoprotein. The record is from RNAcentral. Lineage: Eukaryota; Metazoa; Chordata; Mammalia; Primates; Cebidae.
GCCAGGUGCAGUGGUGCAUGCCUGUAGCCCCAGCUACUUGGGAGGCUGAUGUGGGAGAAUCGCCUGAGCCCAGGAGUUCUGGGCUGUAGUGUGCUAUGCUGAUCAGGUGUCCGCACUAAUUUCGGCAUCAAUAUGGUGACCUCCCAGGAGCAGGGGACCACCAGGUUGCCUAAGGAGGGGAGAACCGUCCUAGGCUGGAAACAGAGCAGGUCGAAACUCCUGUGCCGAUCAGUAGUGGGAUAAUGCCUGUUAAGAUCCACUGCACCCCAGCCGGGGGCAACAUAGUGAGACCCCAUCUCU